AGAGUUUGAUCCUGGCUCAGAACGAACGCUGGCGGCGUGCUUAAUACAUGCAAGUCGAACGUGAAUCCCGACUUCGGUUGGGAUGAAAGUGGCGAACGGGUGAGUAACACGUAAGUAAUCUGCCUUCAAGUUUGGGAUAACCCUGCCAACGCGGGGCUAAUACCGGAUGUGGUCCAGCUGACACAUGUUGGCUGGAUUAAAGGUCGCGAGGCCGCUUGGAGAUGAGCUUGCGGCCCAUUAGUUAGUUGGUGAGGUAACGGCCCACCAAGACGAAGAUGGGUAGCCGGCCUGAGAGGGUGUACGGCCACAUUGGGACUGAGAUACGGCCCAGACUCCUACGGGAGGCAGCAGUAGGGAAUUUUGCGCAAUGGACGGAAGUCUGACGCAGCAACGCCGCGUGAAGGAUGACGGCCUUCGGGUUGUAAACUUCUGUUGGAUGGGAAAAAAAGCCUAGGAAUAGGAAUUGAUGGUACCAUUCGAGUAAGCACCGGCUAACUACGUGCCAGCAGCCGCGGUAAUACGUAGGGUGCGAGCGUUGUUCGGAAUCACUGGGCGUAAAGGGAGCGUAGGCGGGAUCGUAAGUUAGGAGUUUAAUACAUGGGCUCAACCCGUGAUAUGCUUUUAAUACUGCGGUUCUUGAGUAUGGGAGAGGGUGAUGGAAUUCCAGGUGUAGCGGUGGAAUGCGUAGAUAUCUGGAAGAACACCAGUAGCGAAGGCGGUCACCUGGCCCAAUACUGACGCUGAGGCUCGAAAGCUGGGGGAGCAAACAGGAUUAGAUACCCUGGUAGUCCCAGCCGUAAACGAUGGACACUAGUUGCCGGGAGAGUCAAUCCUUUCGGUGACGAAGCUAACGCAUUAAGUGUCCCGCCUGGGAAGUACGCCCGCAAGGGUGAAACUCAAAGGAAUUGACGG
This 912-nucleotide ribosomal RNA is filed under the name uncultured bacterium. RNAcentral's name for it is "bacterial SSU rRNA". It matches the Rfam family "Bacterial small subunit ribosomal RNA", at positions 8 to 916 of the family's 1533-position model. The record is from RNAcentral.